RNAcentral lists this ribosomal RNA (405 nucleotides) under uncultured bacterium. RNAcentral's name for it is "partial 16S ribosomal RNA". It matches the Rfam family "Bacterial small subunit ribosomal RNA", at positions 28 to 526 of the family's 1533-position model. The record is from RNAcentral.
GAUGAACGCUGACAGAAUGCUUAACACAUGCAAGUCAACUUGUGGCGUACGGGUGAGUAACUCGUAAAGAACUUGCCUCACGGAUAGGGACAACAUUUGGAAACGAAUGCUAAUACCUGAUACUGUGAGAGAGCUUUGCGUCCCAUUAGCUAGUUGGAGAGUUAACGGCUCACCAAGGCGAUGAUGGGUAGCCGGCCUGAGAUGGUGAUCGGCCACAAGGGGACUGAGACACGGCCCUUACUCCUACGGGAGGCAGCAGUGGGGAAGAUUGGACAAUGGACCAAAGUCUGAUCCAGCAAUUCUGUGGGCACGAUGAAGUUUUCGGAAUGUAAAGUGCUUUCAGUUGGGAAGCGGGACAAAAAGAAGAAGUGACGGCUAAAUACGUGCCAGCAGCCGCGGUAAUAG